This 389-nucleotide ribosomal RNA is filed under the name uncultured bacterium. RNAcentral's name for it is "bacterial SSU rRNA". It matches the Rfam family "Bacterial small subunit ribosomal RNA", at positions 29 to 408 of the family's 1533-position model. The record is from RNAcentral.
AAUGAACGCUGGCGGCGCGCCUAAUACAUGCAAGUCGAGCGAGAAGACGUAGCAAUACGUUUGUAAAGCGGCGAACGGGUGAGGAAUACAUGGGUAACCUACCCUAGAGUGGGGAAUAACUAGCCGAGAGGUUAGCUAAUACCGCGUACGCUCCUUGGACUUCGGUUCAGGGAGGAAAGCGAUGCCGAGGGUAUCGCGCUCUUGGAUGGGCUCAUGUCCUAUCAGCUUGUUGGUGAGGUAACGGCUCACCAAGGCUUCGACGGGUAGCUGGUCUGAGAGGACGAUCAGCCACACUGGCACUGCGACACGGGCCAGACUCCUACGGGAGGCAGCAGUAAGGAAUAUUGCGCAAUGGGCGAAAGCCUGACGCAGCGACGCCGCGUGGGGGA